Molecule: non-coding RNA, 209 nt
Organism: Cinara cedri
Lineage: Eukaryota; Metazoa; Arthropoda; Insecta; Hemiptera; Aphididae
Source: the annotation of a GenBank genome assembly
CCCUUGCGGUGUGCGACUUCUCACACUCGUUUUCUCUCGUCGGUUUUAGAACUGUGUUUUGCAAAAGUCUGCAGUCGUGCGCCAUCCGUGUUGAUAUUCACGUAGGUAUUGAAAAAUAGUUACGCCAGAAUAAUAUUCGUUAUUGUUUAUUCGUGUAAUCCGAUUUAUUGCGACGCACACGGAUUAUAAUUUUUCGUUUUAAUUCUUGG